Molecule: long non-coding RNA, 365 nt
Filed under: Brassica rapa (field mustard)
Lineage: Eukaryota; Viridiplantae; Streptophyta; Magnoliopsida; Brassicales; Brassicaceae
Description: long non-coding RNA (BRAP_LNC007842)
Source: RNAcentral
UAGGUUAGAUUAGUUGUGGUUUUAAAUGGCAAGCAGAUAAAGUGGUCUUGGUCUCUUGAUGAUGUACUUAACCCACACAUAACACGAUCUAGAAAAAGUAAAUUUAAAAAAAAAAAAAAUUUAUAUAUAUAUAUAUCCUUACUUGAUCAGUGCUGCUAAUCAUUUGUUAAUAUGGUUUUUACUCAGUAAAGCGAGUGUGUUUGUUUGUGUUUAGAAAAUAAAAUUACUUUUUCAUAAAUACUUUCUGAAGUUUUAUAGUUUUAGCUUUGUUAGUUACACUUUUAGUCUCUAACAUGGAUUUGGACCAACAAAUCCCAUCAACCAAUUAUAAAACAUUAAAACUAAAAUAAAGUAGGAAAAACUAC